AGCGAACGCUGGCGGCAGGCUUAACACAUGCAAGUCGAGCGCCGUAGCAAUACGGAGCGGCAGACGGGUGAGUAACGCGUGGGAACGUACCUUUUGGUUCGGAACAACACAGGGAAACUUGUGCUAAUACCGAAUAAGCCCUUACGGGGAAAGAUUUAUCGCCGAAAGAUCGGCCCGCGUCUGAUUAGCUUGUUGGUGAGGUAACGGCUCACCAAGGCGACGAUCAGUAGCUGGUCUGAGAGGAUGAUCAGCCACAUUGGGACUGAGACACGGCCCAAACUCCUACGGGAGGCAGCAGUGGGGAAUAUUGGACAAUGGGCGCAAGCCUGAUCCAGCCAUGCCGCGUGGGUGAUGAAGGCCCUAGGGUUGUAAAGCUCUUUUGUGCGGGAAGAUAAUGACGGUACCGCAAGAAUAA
RNAcentral lists this ribosomal RNA (415 nucleotides) under uncultured bacterium. RNAcentral describes it as "bacterial SSU rRNA". It matches the Rfam family "Bacterial small subunit ribosomal RNA", at positions 29 to 489 of the family's 1533-position model. The record is from RNAcentral.